This 401-nucleotide ribosomal RNA is filed under the name uncultured bacterium. RNAcentral's name for it is "bacterial SSU rRNA". It matches the Rfam family "Bacterial small subunit ribosomal RNA", at positions 19 to 416 of the family's 1533-position model. The record is from RNAcentral.
CUGGCUCAGAAUGAACGCUGGCGGCGUGGAUUAGGCAUGCAAGUCGCGCGAGAAAGUUUCCUUCGGGAGACGAGUAGAGCGGCGAACUGGUGAGUAACAGGUGGGCAACGUGCCCUGAAGUGUGGAAUAACCCGAGGAAACUCGGGCUAAUACCGCAUGCGGUUCUCGGAUUCAUGGAUCUGAGUAUCAAAGACGCAAGUCGCUUCAGGAUCGGCCCGCCCCCGAUUAGCUAGUUGGUGAGGUAACGGCUCACCAAGGCGACGAUCGGUAGCUGGUCUGAGAGGAUGGUCAGCCACACUGGAACUGAGAUACGGUCCAGACUCCUACGGGGGCAGCAGUCUAGAGGCUUCGGCAAUGGACGAAAGUCUGACCGAGCGACGCCGCGUGUGGGAUUGAAGGCC